AGAGUUUGAUCCUGGCUCAGAAUCAACGCUGGCGGCGUGCUUCACACAUGCAAGUCGAACGGGGCUCAUCCGGUGGUAACACUGGAGAAGGCCUAGUGGCGAACGGGUGAGUAACACGUGAGGAACCUGCCCCGAAGACCGGGAUAACAGCGGGAAACCGCUGCUAAUACCGGAUGCCCCCACCUGGCCGCAUGGCCGGG
RNAcentral lists this ribosomal RNA (200 nucleotides) under uncultured bacterium. Its description in RNAcentral is "partial 16S ribosomal RNA". It matches the Rfam family "Bacterial small subunit ribosomal RNA", at positions 8 to 198 of the family's 1533-position model. The record is from RNAcentral.